This 648-nucleotide ribosomal RNA is filed under the name uncultured bacterium. RNAcentral's name for it is "bacterial SSU rRNA". It matches the Rfam family "Bacterial small subunit ribosomal RNA", at positions 1 to 630 of the family's 1533-position model. The record is from RNAcentral.
AGGGGUUUGAUCCUGGCUCAGAACGAACGCUGGCGGCGUGGAUUAGGCAUGCAAGUCGAACGAGGAUAUAUCCUUCGGGAUAUAAGCCAAGUGGCGGAAGGGUGAGUAAUGCAUAGACAACCUGCCUUUAGGAUAAGAAUAACUCUGUGAAAGCGGAGCUAAUACUUAAUAAUACAAAGAAAAGGAUCUUUUCUUUGUCAAAAAAGGGUAUUUAUACCUUUUACCUAAAGAGGGGUUUAUGUCCUAUCAGCUUGUUGGUGGGGUAACGGCCUACCAAGGCGAAGACGGGUAACCGGCCUUAGAGGGUAGUCGGUCACACUGGAACUGAGACACUGUCCAGACUUCUACGGAAGGCUGCAGUCGAGAAUCUUUCGCAAUGCCCGAAAGGGUGACGAAGCGACGCCGCGUGGAUGAAGAAGGCCUUCGGGUUGUAAAAUCCUGUCAGGAGUUAAGAAAUAUAGGUGCGAUAAUACCGUGCCUAUUUUGACAAAGGCUCCAGAGGAAGCCACGGCUAACUCUGUGCCAGCAGCCGCGGUAAUACAGAGGUGGCAAGCGUUGUUCGGAAUUAUUGGGCGUAAAGAGCACGUUAGGUGGAUUUGUCAGCCAGAUGUGAAAGCCUUCUUGUUCAACGGGAAGAAUUGCAUCUGA